RNAcentral lists this transfer RNA (82 nucleotides) under Thalassotalea sp. ND16A. It matches the Rfam family "tRNA". Rfam says of the family: Transfer RNA (tRNA) molecules are approximately 80 nucleotides in length. Their secondary structure includes four short double-helical elements and three loops (D, anti-codon, and T loops). The record is from Rfam by way of RNAcentral. RNAcentral also lists the same sequence under 1 other name. Lineage: Bacteria; Pseudomonadati; Pseudomonadota; Gammaproteobacteria; Alteromonadales; Colwelliaceae.
GCGGACGUGGCGGAAUUGGUAGACGCGCUGGAUUUAGGUUCCAGUAUCUUGCGAUGUGAGAGUUCAAGUCUCUCCGUCCGCA